UAGCCGUAAACGAUACUCGCUAGGUGUCGGCCACGGUGCGACCGUUGUCGGUGCCGUAGGGAAGCCGUGAAGCGAGCCACCUGGGAAGUACGGCCGCAAGGCUGAAACUUAAAGGAAUUGGCGGGGGAGCACCACAACGGGUGGAGCUUGCGGUUUAAUUGGAUUCAACGCCGGAAAUCUUACCGGGAUCGACAGCAACAUGAAGGCCAAGCUGAAGACUUUGCCGGAUUAGCUGAGAGGUGGUGCAUGGCGUAGUCGUGU
Molecule: ribosomal RNA, 261 nt
Filed under: uncultured archaeon
Lineage: Archaea
Description: partial 16S ribosomal RNA
Rfam family: Archaeal small subunit ribosomal RNA
Source: RNAcentral